This 490-nucleotide ribosomal RNA is filed under the name Ralstonia pickettii. RNAcentral's name for it is "bacterial SSU rRNA". It matches the Rfam family "Bacterial small subunit ribosomal RNA", at positions 1 to 484 of the family's 1533-position model. The record is from RNAcentral. Lineage: Bacteria; Pseudomonadati; Pseudomonadota; Betaproteobacteria; Burkholderiales; Burkholderiaceae.
UCAGAGUUUUUGUCCUGGCUCAGAUUGAACGCUGGCGGCAUGCCUUACACAUGCAAGUCGAACGGCAGCAUGAUCUAGCUUGCUAGAUUGAUGGCGAGUGGCGAACGGGUGAGUAAUACAUCGGAACGUGCCCUGUAGUGGGGGAUAACUAGUCGAAAGAUUAGCUAAUACCGCAUACGACCUGAGGGUGAAAGUGGGGGACCGCAAGGCCUCAUGCUAUAGGAGCGGCCGAUGUCUGAUUAGCUAGUUGGUGGGGUAAAGGCCCACCAAGGCGACGAUCAGUAGCUGGUCUGAGAGGACGAUCAGCCACACUGGGACUGAGACACGGCCCAGACUCCUACGGGAGGCAGCAGUGGGGAAUUUUGGACAAUGGGCGAAAGCCUGAUCCAGCAAUGCCGCGUGUGUGAAGAAGGCCUUCGGGUUGUAAAGCACUUUUGUCCGGAAAGAAAUGGCUCUGGUUAAUACCUGGGGUCGAUGACGGUACCGAAGA